UAAUACUAUUUUAAAAUGGGGAAAGCUUCUACAAGCACCUUGGUCAGUUCCAGGUGUAGAAGUUACAUAGUAGAUCAGAACCACAACUUUUAACUUCAACAAGUAGUACCAAAACAAGCAUCUACAUUGUAUAAAAUAACAACACAACACUAGCAUACUUGAAAGGUGUUUAUACCACACUACUAACAAAUCACAACACAGACUUACUUGCAGCACUGAGGAAUAACUUCUUCUCAGUAAAGUCACAACUUGAAGCAGUUUUUCUUAUGAAAAACAAAACAAAACAAAAAACACAGAAGUUUUCUUCAACAAAACACCACUAGCAUUCUGUUAUCUCAAUACCAGUGAGGCACAGCAGGAGAUACUUAGGCCAUAUGUUGUACGGCUGCUCUGUGUUAUUAUCUGCCUCACCUGGUAAGGGUGAGGUAAAACUAUUUCCCUCCUUUUCCACUGUUCAAAAGAGCUUAACAAAGUCUGAGGAAAAUGCCUUGACUCUCCUUAUCCUGUAAUGGGGGAUGCACCCUGCCAUCAUGUUAUCUCACUGUGCUCUGCAGUGGAAGUUUCCAGAAAGCACUGAGCAGGGCAGGGCUGUGCUGCUAGGCCUAGGUGAAAUGGCGGCGUUUCCACAACCUGCACAGGCUGUGAGGAGCACUUCAGUCUGUGACACCACAGGAAAGCUCACUGUGAAGGAGAAUACCACCUUGCUUUGCUGCUUUGUCGCUGCUAAUGGUAAAUUUUAA
This 740-nucleotide long non-coding RNA is filed under the name Anser brachyrhynchus (Pink-footed goose). RNAcentral describes it as "lncRNA (ENSABRG00000010518.1)". The record is from RNAcentral. Lineage: Eukaryota; Metazoa; Chordata; Aves; Anseriformes; Anatidae.